RNAcentral lists this ribosomal RNA (484 nucleotides) under uncultured bacterium. RNAcentral's name for it is "partial 16S ribosomal RNA". It matches the Rfam family "Bacterial small subunit ribosomal RNA", at positions 28 to 523 of the family's 1533-position model. The record is from RNAcentral.
GAUGAACGCUGGCGGCGUGCUUAACACAUGCAAGUCGAACGGUGAAGCAGGAGCUUGCUCCUGUGGAUCAGUGGCGAACGGGUGAGUAACACGUGAGCAAUCUGCCCUGGACUCUGGAAUAAGCGUUGGAAACGACGUCUAAUACCGGAGACGAGGCGUGGGGGCAUCCCCAACGCCUGGAAAGAACUUCGGUCCAGGCGGAGCUCGCGGCCUAUCAGGUAGUUGGUGAGGUAACGGCUCACCAAGCCUACGACGGGUAGCCGGCCUGAGAGGGUGACCGGCCACACUGGGACUGAGACACGGCCCAGACUCCUACGGGAGGCAGCAGUGGGGAAUAUUGCACAAUGGGCGAAAGCCUGAUGCAGCAACGCCGCGUGAGGGACGACGGCCUUCGGGUUGUAAACCUCUUUUAGCAGGGAAGAAGCGAAAGUGACGGUACCUGCAGAAAAAGCACCGGCUAACUACGUGCCAGCCGCCGCCGUAA